GUACACUCCUGCGGGAGGCAGCAGUGGGGAAUAUUGGACAAUGGGCGCAAGCCUGAUCCAGCCAUGCCGCGUGAGUGAUGAAGGCCCUAGGGUUGUAAAGCUCUUUCACCGGUGAAGAUAAUGACGGUAACCGGAGAAGAAGCCCCGGCUAACUUCGUGCCAGCAGCCGCGGUAAUACGAAGGGGGCUAGCGUUGUUCGGAUUUACUGGGCGUAAAGCGCACGUAGGCGGACUAUUAAGUCAGGGGUGAAAUCCCGGGGCUCAACCCCGGAACUGCCUUUGAUACUGGUAGUCUUGAGUUCGAGAGAGGUGAGUGGAAUUCCGAGUGUAGAGGUGAAAUUCGUAGAUAUUCGGAGGAACACCAGUGGCGAAGGCGGCUCACUGGCUCGAUACUGACGCUGAGGUGCGAAAGCGUGGGGAGCAAACAGGAUUAGAUACCCCGGUAGUCCCAUGA
This 453-nucleotide ribosomal RNA is filed under the name uncultured organism. RNAcentral describes it as "partial 16S ribosomal RNA". It matches the Rfam family "Bacterial small subunit ribosomal RNA", at positions 331 to 800 of the family's 1533-position model. The record is from RNAcentral.